Molecule: long non-coding RNA, 1059 nt
Organism: Balaenoptera acutorostrata (minke whale)
Lineage: Eukaryota; Metazoa; Chordata; Mammalia; Artiodactyla; Balaenopteridae
Exons: 3
Source: RefSeq, a predicted model, not a curated record
GGCUGUCCCAGUGGAAUCCAGCCUUGCCACGAAUAAAAGGGUUUUCUGAGGCAUAAGUACUUACACAGCCAGCCAAUUUGGCCCUCCACGUAUUUGUGAUGCUUGCUUGAAAAUGGUGCUUCCAGAUGGAAAUCUGGGGAAGGAAAGAGGAAGAGACAUCAGAGAUGCACAGAGAAGACCACUCGAGGACACAGCAGGAGGAUGGCCAUCUGCCAGCCAAGGAAAAGGGCUGAAGGAUAACCCAAUACUGCAGACACCUUGAUCUUAAACUUCCAGCCCCCAGAACUGACAUUGAGACCAAACUGAACAUGCAUGGCUAAGAGGAUGUUGUCCAGAGGGGAAUUGUCUAUAACAUUGCAUGUAUGGAUUUGCAGAAAAAAAAAAGUUAAAAACAACCUUGAAAAUGAUUGUUUGGAAAUGACUCCAUUAAAUGUAAAAUUAGAGAAUUUGGUUAUUUAAAAUAAUUUUAACUGGUGACACUAAUGAUUAGAAACCAUUUUAGUGAGAGCAAAAAUAAUAUACAUGUGAAAACUAGAAGAAAUUACACAGAGACCACUGUCUUUGAGUUUUCUUAAAGAAUAAGACAAAGUUGUUAUUGCUCUGUCUUUAAUAAAAUUUGCUGUAGGUUAAUUUGGUCAUACUUAAGAUUGUAGCAAAAGUUGUGGCUUUCAGAUGCAGUCUCACUAAGCUUAUACAUUAAAAUAUUUCAUUUUAGAAAAAUUUACUUUAAUGAGAUCUACAUUUCCUCAUAAGGAAGGAAGAACAUAUGCUUAUAAAAAUUCUAAGGAUGCCUAAGUCUUCUCUAUGUAGUAUGUAAUGUAAAGAAAACAUCCAAAGGGCUUUGAGUAUAAUGUGUAUAACAGACGGUGGUGACUUUGACUAGUAAAACAGAGACUACAAGGAAUGAGAUUUUCCAAUAUUUUGACAAAGCCAGUUUUUGCUAGGUCUUUUCUUUCUGACUGGGAGAAUAAAAAAAAUGAUUUGAAGAAAUGUUUCCUCUGGGUUUAUGCUAUGGUGUGAAUGUGUGUGUCCCCUCAAACUUCACAUGUUGAAAUUCGA